GGAUGUGAGGGCGAUCUGGCUGCGACAUCUGUCACCCCAUUGAUCGCCAGGGUUGAUUCGGCUGACCUGGCAGGCUAGGUGGGUGUCCCCUUCCUCCCUCACCACUCCAUGUGUGUCCCUCCUGAAGCUGCGCGCUCGGUUGAGGAGGACGACCGUCCCUGAUAGAGGAGGACCGUUCUUCGGUCAAGGGUACACGAGUAGCUGCGCUCCCCUGUUAGAACCUCCAAACAAGCUCUCAAGGUCUAUUUAUAAUAGUGAAAAGUUAAAUAACUUGAAUUAGCUUUACCAAGAGAAAAACUAAUU
Molecule: small nuclear RNA, 303 nt
Filed under: Castor canadensis (American beaver)
Lineage: Eukaryota; Metazoa; Chordata; Mammalia; Rodentia; Castoridae
Description: 7SK RNA (ENSCCNG00000030875.1)
Rfam family: 7SK RNA
About the family: 7SK was discovered as an abundant small nuclear RNA in the mid-70s but a possible function has only recently been suggested. Two independent studies have found that 7SK RNA binds the CDK9/cyclin T complex (known as elongation factor P-TEFb).
Source: Rfam by way of RNAcentral